GAUGAAGAACGUAGCGAAAUGCGAUAAGUAGUGUGAAUUGCAGAAUUCAGUGAAUCAUCGAAUCUUUGAACGCACAUUGCGCCCCUUGGUAUUCCAUGGGGCAUGCCUGUUCGAGCGUCAUUUGUACCCUCAAGCUUUGCUUGGUGUUGGGUGUUUGUCCUCUCCUUUGCGUUUGGACUCGCCUUAAAGCAAUUGGCAGCCAGUGUUUUGGUAUUGAAGCGCAGCACAUUUUGCGAUUCUAGCCGAUAAUACUUGCGUCCAUAAGCCUUUUUUAACUUUUGACCUCGGAUCAGGUAGGGAUACCCGCUGAACUUAAGCAUAUCAAUAAGCGGAGGA
RNAcentral lists this unclassified non-coding RNA (336 nucleotides) under soil metagenome. RNAcentral describes it as "partial contains 5.8S ribosomal RNA, internal transcribed spacer 2, and large subunit ribosomal RNA". The stretch from base 1 to 120 matches the Rfam family "5.8S ribosomal RNA", at positions 35 to 154 of the family's 154-position model. The record is from RNAcentral.